CUACAUCAACCCAAAAGCCGAAGGUUCGCCAAAGGAGGUACUUCUCUCACUCUUUUUACUUCAUUUCAAAAGCUUAUAGCGAUACUCUUAAAGCGAGAAUAAGAUGCGAUAAAGCUAGAAGAAGUGAGAGCUGAGAUAUAUAUGAUAGGGAGCAACAUGGGAGGAUCGCGACAACUUAUUAAGAUUUUCAAAUAAAUUGAACGUUAUUGAGAUCUUCUCUAGAUCUCAGCAGAUUUAUACGCAAUCGGAAUACAGUGUAGGAGAUCUUUAAAUGAAACGCUACAGGAUCAGCAUAGAGAAUAUUAACACGAAAGAGAGAGAGAGAACCGGUGGGUAGCUGCGGCGGCGGGGGCGGCGCCGCCGGUGACGGAGAAGAGAGGAGAGGAAGCCAGAGGAAAG
Molecule: long non-coding RNA, 399 nt
Filed under: Phoenix dactylifera (date palm)
Lineage: Eukaryota; Viridiplantae; Streptophyta; Magnoliopsida; Arecales; Arecaceae
Description: long non-coding RNA (PDAC_LNC007520)
Source: RNAcentral